AUUGUGCGAUUCGCCGAUCGCCUCGCGGAAGAUCCGAUCACGCGGCCGAUUGCCGAUCAUGCGUUCGACGGAUUGGCGGUCACCGAUCCGCGCGGUCAUGUCGUCUACGCCAAUACGGCUUAUCUUGCGCUGACCGGCGCAUCCGGCCCCAAUGAUGUGCGGCCCGUCGAGCGGGUUUUCAUCGGUAAUCCCGAUGUCUCCGAGGCGGUGUUUCGCCUGCUCAAGGCUGCCCGCGAAGGCAAGCGCCAGCAGGAGGAGGUCCGCGUUGCGGGCGCUGACAGCGCCCAUGGCCGGUGGCUGCGCA
Molecule: unclassified non-coding RNA, 304 nt
Filed under: Hevea brasiliensis (rubber tree)
Lineage: Eukaryota; Viridiplantae; Streptophyta; Magnoliopsida; Malpighiales; Euphorbiaceae
Source: RNAcentral